UAACUACCAGCCAGCCAGCCAGCUGAAGACCUGCACACUACCCUUGACGUCACUUGGAAGGAAGACAGCAGAUGCCAAGGGAAACCCUGUGAGCCCUGCUAGCAAAGGAAAGAAUAAGGCAGCUUAAUGACAUCAAAAGAAACACGAAGAAAACUUACAACGUAAAGCACAUUGCUGAACCAGAGCCAAAGGAACUCUUCUUAUAAAUUACUCUUAGUAUGAGUCUCACACAUGCCCUCUGGCCACCAUUGGGAGUUAAUGGACUGUGGCAAUCAGACCAUGAGAACAACACCUCACCAGCGAGCAGAAUAUCUGGAUGCCUUAAAUUUAUAAUAUGAGACUUGUUAUAAGAUACAUUUUGGACCAUAUCUGUACAUAGAACUUGUUUGAUUUCUUUUUUAAUAUGCUGUUUGAAAACAUGAUCGGGCAAUGUAUGCAUUGACACAUUGGACAUUUGAUUGAGUCGACCUUCUUGAAGCACAUCCACCAGCACCUGACACGACUAGUGUUUUUGUGAAUUGCAUGAGGAUUUGCUGAUGUUGA
Molecule: long non-coding RNA, 543 nt
Filed under: Rattus norvegicus (Norway rat)
Lineage: Eukaryota; Metazoa; Chordata; Mammalia; Rodentia; Muridae
Description: long non-coding RNA NONRATT013430
Source: RNAcentral